Non-coding RNA from Nicotiana tabacum (common tobacco), 707 nucleotides. Lineage: Eukaryota; Viridiplantae; Streptophyta; Magnoliopsida; Solanales; Solanaceae. The record is from RefSeq and is a predicted model, not a curated record.
UUUAAAAUUAUUUAUAAAAGCAAAUAUUUGUUAAAUCGUAACUUUUAAUUUUUGAUGAUUAACUUUAUAUGUAAAAUUUAAUCUAACUAUGUAAUAACACCUAUGUAAUCAAACAGUACACUUGUACUUACAUUAUAAUUACAUUGUGACAAACAAACAUGUCAUUAUAAUUAUAAUAUUGUGUAAUUAUUAGGUUGUGUAAUUAUUAUCCUAGUAAUUACAUCAAUUCCAAUUACCUCGUGGCAUUUCAAACAAACCCAAAUGUUCAGGUAGUGUGCGAUUGAAGCUUUGGGUUGUCAAAUUGCGGUUUGAGGUACGCAGAAACGCUAAAGUUAAACGAGAGUUGAGAGUAAAAUAGUAAGGCAUUUUGCAAGCAAUUCAUGUGUGAUUCAAGUGUACGAACCUGAAGCUACAUGAACCGGAUAGAAGAACUAGUUCCAAGUGCCUGUCUUUUAUUCUAGUUUCAUUAUUGUAGGGAUUUUGAGUUGUACUUUUCAGCUUUCUCUAGAAGCAAUUGUACUAGGUACUCUGAGUGUAUUAUUUAAGUUAGAGUUAACUUAAAAUUAUCGCAACAGCCUGAGGUUGGUUGCCACAAAGGGUUAUAGGUAAUCCUUAGAUUUACAAGAGUUUUGUAAACAUUAUUUUUGGCUCAGUGAUUUAGUGAUAUGUUGGAAACAAUCCUACUGGGUAGUAGGUCGUAUUUUUUC